RNAcentral lists this long non-coding RNA (588 nucleotides) under Elaeis guineensis (African oil palm). RNAcentral describes it as "long non-coding RNA (EGUI_LNC049719)". Lineage: Eukaryota; Viridiplantae; Streptophyta; Magnoliopsida; Arecales; Arecaceae. The record is from RNAcentral.
UGUCUAAUUUUUAAAGGCAUGGCAGACGUGGCAUCAUGACUCGAUAGUUCAAAGCAUAUGAUCUAAGCAACCUCAUGUAAUAUAAACAGUGUCACAUAUAUCGAUGCCUAAUCGAUAACUGCAUAAGAUCGGUAAUGCAGUGAUACCUACAUCAUCGGGCUUCCAUCGAUCCGAUAUUGCUUUCGCUUGGGCUCUCCCUAUAAGCCGUCUCCCAGAUUGGAUGCUCUUAGGAGCACAUAGUGAAUGGAUCUCGCUGGAUCGGCAUCCCACUGCAUGGACCCACAAUCCCUCCAGACAUGGGUGACAAGUCCUAUGAAAGCUUGCUGACACCCAUUCUUCUUGUUCUGACAGUCACUACUCUGACUUCGAUGGCAUCCACCACUCUAGCAGGCUCUCUCCUGUAAAUGGGGAGAGAAAGGAAAAAAUAGAGAUUCUUUUCUUCUUCUCAACUUGAGACUCUUGUUCUCAUCAUCUUCUCCUACUGUUCUCUCUCCUCAACUGCCAUUGAUUUAGCCAUUGGAGGGUCUCCCGUUGGAGUUCCCCACCUUAUUCUUCGACGGCUGGACUUUCUUUGCAGGUGCAUGGGUC